Molecule: long non-coding RNA, 568 nt
Filed under: Homo sapiens (human)
Lineage: Eukaryota; Metazoa; Chordata; Mammalia; Primates; Hominidae
Description: HSALNT0118089
Source: RNAcentral
CUCCCCACGUGUGCAAGGACGCCCUGGGUCAAAGUCACAGUACUGGAAUCUGAGCACGCGUCCGUCUGUGGCAAGAGAGAAGCACAGAUGAAGCACAUGCUUUGCUCCUGCACCGCUCCCACGCCUCCGCACUCCAGAACUGAUCCUUGGCAGCCCGACUGGAGAGCAGUGGUGCGAUCUUGGCUCACUGCAACUUCGCCUCCUGGGUUCAAGCCAUUCUCCUGUCUCAGCCUCCCAAGUAGCUGGGAUUACAGGCAUGUGCCACCACGCCUGGCUGAUUUUUGAAUUUUUACUAGAGAUGGGGUUUUACCAUGUUGGCCAGGCUGGUCUCGAAUGCCUGACCUCAAGUGAUUUGUCCGCCUCGGCCUCCCAAGUGCUGGGAUUACAGGCGUGAGCCACCACUCCCGGCCCACAUGUAAGAUCAUUUUCUUACUUUCAUGAAAUCUCUCUUCUGUGUACAACAUCACUGAACUAAUUUGUCUUGAUAUGUUUGCACUGAUUCAGAUAUAAUAUGUAUAAAAGCAGUGAAACUUUAAAAACAAGGGUAUUAUAUUCUAGACAAUCUCCA